RNAcentral lists this ribosomal RNA (253 nucleotides) under uncultured bacterium. RNAcentral's name for it is "partial 16S ribosomal RNA". It matches the Rfam family "Bacterial small subunit ribosomal RNA", at positions 524 to 776 of the family's 1533-position model. The record is from RNAcentral.
UACGUAUGGAGCAAGCGUUAUCCGGAUUUACUGGGUGUAAAGGGAGCGCAGGCGGCUUUGCAAGUCUGAUGUGAAAGGCCGGGGCUCAACCCCGGGACUGCAUUGGAAACUGUAAAGCUAGAGUGCCGGAGAGGUAAGUGGAAUUCCUAGUGUAGCGGUGAAAUGCGUAGAUAUUAGGAGGAACACCAGUGGCGAAGGCGGCUUACUGGACUGUAACUGACGUUGAGGCUCGAAAGCGUGGGGAGCAAACAGG